CCUGUCCUACGGGGCGCAGCAGUAGGGAAUUUUCGUCAAUGGGCGCAAGCCUGAACGAGCAAUGCCGCGUGAACGAGGAAGGUCUUCGGAUCGUAAAGUUCUGUUGAAGGGGAAAAAGAGCGGAGAGAGGAAAUGGUCUCCGAUUGAUAUUACCCUUCGAGGAAGUCACGGCUAACUACGUGCCAGCAGCCGCGGUAAUACGUAGGUGACGAGCGUUAUCCGGAAUGAUUGGGCGGAAAGGGUGCGUAGGCGGACUGCUAAGUCUGGAGUGAAAGGUACCGGCUCAAACGG
Molecule: ribosomal RNA, 291 nt
Filed under: uncultured bacterium
Lineage: Bacteria
Description: partial 16S ribosomal RNA
Rfam family: Bacterial small subunit ribosomal RNA
Source: RNAcentral